GCUAGGACAGAGAAACAAGUCGUCUUCUAGCGACAGCCUGGUGCGCACACGGUCCUCGAGCAUCCCCAGACCGACGGCACGGCAGCUGCUGGGCCUGCAGGUUAAUACACGUAAAGUAACCUGUGUGUCUCCAAGAGAGGAUCGGGGUUGUUUGCUGAAGAAGCCUAUAGGUAAAGGGACAUCCAUACAUUCACACGGGAGGAUUCGUAAAGGCAGGGACGAGAAUAUAAAGGUAUUAUUUUGAUGUGACGAGCCCCGCUUGGAAAAUGUCUUCGACGCAUCUGAAGUUGUUGCCACUUUUGCUGCCUUCGACUCGGAGAAGUCGAGUAAUUCUCCGGCCCCUUUGAAAUACAUCUCGUCUGCACCAAAUUUCUGCCGACAAACCAACCGAUAGAUACGGAUAUAUUUAUAUUCAUGGGUCUGAAUGCAUUGAAGUCCAUGUGGAAAAAUCCUCCUUCACCUUCCUGGAGAAGGGUGGUGGAAUCAACCUGAGGUCAGCUCUGCCUGUUUGGCAUUUUAUUAGAAGCACACGGUCCAGCUAAAUUCAGAUGAUUUUUUUCUUUGUUUGUUUGUUUGUCUGCUUGUAUUAGUGGAAAUUAAAGCAUUGCCAAGGUUUGUGCUUCCUGCGUGUCACAACCAUCGCCGCCUUUAACCAGCAUCAUGAGCAGCUUGGCUUGCACGCCACAGAUAGCUGCCCGCCUCCGGCACC
Molecule: long non-coding RNA, 709 nt
Organism: Grus americana (Whooping crane)
Lineage: Eukaryota; Metazoa; Chordata; Aves; Gruiformes; Gruidae
Exons: 4
Source: RefSeq, a predicted model, not a curated record